GAUGAACGCUGGCGGCGUGCCUAAUACAUGCAAGUCGAGCGAACAGAUGAGGAGCUUGCUCCUCUGACGUUAGCGGCGGACGGGUGAGUAACACGUGGAUAACCUACCUAUAAGACUUGGAUAACUUCGGGAAACCGGAGCUAAUACCGGAUAAUAUAUUGAACCGCAUGGUUCAAUAGUGAAAGACGGUUUUGCUGUCACUUAUAGAUGGAUCCGCGCCGCAUUAGCUAGUUGGUAAGGUAACGGCUUACCAAGGCGACGAUGCGUAGCCGACCUGAGAGGGUGAUCGGCCACACUGGAACUGAGACACGGUCCAGACUCCUACGGGAGGCAGCAGUAGGGAAUCUUCCGCAAUGGGCGAAAGCUUGACGGAGCAACGCCGCGUGAGUGAUGAAGGUCUUCGGAUCGUAAAACUCUGUUAUUAGGGAAGAACAAAUGUGUAAGUAACUAUGCACGUCUUGACGGUACCUAAUCAGAAAGCCACGGCUAACUACGUG
Molecule: ribosomal RNA, 497 nt
Filed under: uncultured bacterium
Lineage: Bacteria
Description: partial 16S ribosomal RNA
Rfam family: Bacterial small subunit ribosomal RNA
Source: RNAcentral